Long non-coding RNA from Hippocampus comes (tiger tail seahorse), 240 nucleotides. RefSeq lists it as uncharacterized. The transcript has 2 exons. The record is from RefSeq and is a predicted model, not a curated record. Lineage: Eukaryota; Metazoa; Chordata; Actinopteri; Syngnathiformes; Syngnathidae.
GAUCAUUUUUCGUAGCCUGGAGCGCAUUUGAUUGAGCGUGUGAAAUGUUUCACUGUAGUGACUAUGAGUUUGAACGUUUUAGCGGAGCGCACAAGAGCAUUUCAGUUGAGCGUGCAAGGCCGAGCUUCAAAUUCCAAAUUGGGCCCCAUGAACGCCGCGCUGUGUUCCUUCCUUCCUUCCUUCUUUCGCCCGAGGGGCAGACGGCAGCGCAUUCCGAGGCGAAGCCAGCAGCCCCUCCUG